Long non-coding RNA from Cryptotermes secundus, 5233 nucleotides. RefSeq lists it as uncharacterized. The record is from RefSeq and is a predicted model, not a curated record. The transcript has 2 exons. NCBI's taxonomy places the organism in Eukaryota, Metazoa, Arthropoda, Insecta, Blattodea, Kalotermitidae.
UUGUGAAGCUGAUCACUCACCUCCAGCUAGUGCUGAGGUCAAGAAAAUGUGGAUUUAUACAUCCAUUCCUCCAUACAGCUUCAUCCUGUGUUUGACAGUGUAUAAAAUUUAUUUCAGAAAGCCUCUUACAAGGCUAGCCCCUGGUUCAGAGCUGUACCAUGAAUGAAGAAGUAAAUAAAUUAAGUUACAUUUUGAAAUGCACUUCAUUAAUGAAUAUUUCUUUCAUAUCUUUAUUUUGUUGUGAUUUUAUGCACAUUCCAUUCUCCUUUUGUGUCCCCUGGUUGUUACGAGGUAGGACCCCUUGUAAAAUAUACAGUAACAUGCAAGCUUGUCUUGGCAGUUUACAUCUGUGUGUUUCCUUACCUUAUGUACAGUAAAGGAUUCAUUGUCAUAUACUUUUCCCACUGCCUCUAACUUUGAGUAUGCCCUUGAGACAAAUUUUGUUAUUGCAGUUUUCUUCAAAGUCUCUUCAAAACCAUUUCUUUGUGAAGGUUCCUCCAUUUCUCACAAAUAGCCUUCGCUUCCCGGCUGAAGGUUGAUGUAUCUUAAGACAAAAUGCUUGACAUUUUCCGCCUUACCACAUACAAGGCAAUUGUCAUUCAUGUUUCCACUCCUGUAUCCUUUUCAGUUUCCGCAACUGACACCAGAAUGUAAGACACAGCAUAUCAGAGUUGUCUGUUACUUUCCUGAAUGUACGUUUGUGUCUGUUGUGUGCGGUAAUCCAUAAUGUAACAAACUGUGUUAUAUUGGGUUAUCACUGUGCUAUAUAGUCAGUUUUCCUGUGUUAGUGUUUAUAACCUGUGCAUCUCUUAAAAAGAGAUGUCUUGAUAAAAAUAGGACAGCCACAGUGCUUUAAAACAUUAAUCUUACUGGAGAGAAUUUCGGGGGAAAAUUUAUUUGAAAUACACUUAUUAUUUAGUAUUUUUUAAUAGGAUGUAAAAGAUAAAUUAUUUCUGCUUCUUCUAUCCAUUUUACCUGUUAUACAUUCCUGUUUACAAGUGUGGCUUGACUUAGGACCAAAGGUUUCCAUUCAGUUUACAACACUCCUGUUGGUUCACUGAUUGUGUCGCUCUUCAUCCUCCUCUUCCUGUGUGACUUCCUUCUUUACCCUAAACGUGAAGCAGCAGGUUCCCUGCGAACCUAGGUACACGUCUACCAGACACAAGUAGCACAAUGUUAUGUUAAUUGCUAAAGAAAAACACAACCUUCAAGUGUAACAACUUUACAAAAGUAUUGAAUCAAUACAAUUUUAAUAUGUUUUAGUGCUAUAGGACCAUCUUUAGAGGCUCAUCUAAUAAAAGGAGAUUUGCUUAUGUGUACUUUUAAAACUGUGUCUAAAAGAAUUGAUAUACUGUGUACAUUUUUUCUGGGUACAGUAAGAAAGAAGCUGUGACAUUUGUUGUCAGUGAUGUAUUGUUUGUGUGUUUUGAAAUGAGGCCUCCUCUCUGACAAGAGGAGGGGUCUGACCUACUGUUGAUGGCUGACUCAUUGCCCUUGGUUGUAUUGGCAGUUUGCUGGUGGAGAUGUCAGUGACUUGAACCUGAUAGCACCAAAAUGUGUAAGGCAAUCUUAUUGCCCGAGCAUUUUACUAAAGUUUUUGGCACUUGAGGGUUGUCUUAUUCUUUGGCAGUUAAUAGAAAGUGUAAUGGUUGAGAUGUUGUAUUAAACUGCUGUUCUGUUCGUAUGUCUAGCUGUAUCAUAUACAGAAUUCUGUGCCGAGAAACUCCUUGAGUGAGGGACAGAGAACACGAAAACAUAUCCUGUUAGUUUUAUAGAGCUGAUACAUCUGUGGCUGUCCAUUAGUCUUGGGAGUUGGCAUUUCAACUGAUAUAUUUGUAUAAUGGAAUACCCACUGAAAAUUCAACUCAAAAUUUGACAGUUCCCAUUUCUAGUUGUGGUUUCCACAGAACUUACUUUGUGAAAUUACAGGUUUACUGAAUAUAAUAUAAUAAUAAUAAUAAUAAUAAUAAUAAUAAUAAUAAUAAUAAUAAUAAUCUAGAUGUACCUUUCUUCAGUAAUGCUGCACACUGCAAUCUUCUGGUUCUGCUGUAACUAACAGAUUAGUCCUGUGUAUGGGCUUCAUGGCAGUGGCAUGACAACAUUGAGGAACAGUGCCCUUGCAUGCAUUAAUUAUAUUGAAAUGUAAAGAUUGGAUACUUAAAGAAAUUUGAAUUUAAAUUGAAGAGAAGCUGCACAUAAUGAAACUUUCUAAAUGUAAGGAAAGAAGUGCAGUCAUUUCAGAAGAAUACACAAAAUACUUAAUUGUGAUUUCUUUAUCUUGUGUGAGGGCGGGAAGUCUUUGUGCAAUUCUACCUCACAGAAUUCCUCUCUCGACCGGUGUUCAUUUCAGUUUCUUCCUGUCUCCCUGAUGUAACUUCGUGUCAUAUUGUAAUGCCAACUCCUCAGUUACAAGUAGCAGGUGUUACUGAUAUUAAGUUCCCUUUCUUGAGACAAGCAACAGAUAGUUGCACAAUUCAGUGGAAAUGACAUAACACAAAAUGUGCUGGCACAGAGUCAUCAAACCUGAAUUUAACGUAGAACAGAAAACUGCCACCUCCCUCGAAGUGCAAUCUGUUGUAACAUUGAAAUUCUUAGGUUAGACUAAUAUAUAUAGUUGGUAAGUAAAGAACUGCUGAUUGUGUAUUCUAAAAUAAUAUAGGAGAAAUUUAUUUUAUCAUUCUGUGUAAGUAAACUCUAAAAAUCAGCUUUUAUUAACAUGUGACAUAAUCUUGUAAAUGUCUUUGUCAUUCUAUGUAACAUGUGGUGCUUAACCCUUUCCCAUUCUCUUUAUUUCAACCCUCACUCCUGCCAGAUACAAAUUAAUUUGUGUGAAAGUUAAGAAAAAAAAUAACUUUGGUACGGAAAGAUGUGACACACGUAUCAUCUCUUGUUUGGAUAUGAAAGCUACUAAAGAGCAACUCUACAACAUACGUCAUGAUUGUAAUGUGUCAAUAACAUAGUAAGUUUGUGGCAGAAGGCUUCCAACAGUGGACCUGCAUGGGACAGUUAUGUUGGGAGCCUUCAAACACAAGGUGGGAAAGUGUCAGUGUAUGCUAUAUAUACAACUGUGGUCAUGAUUGUUGUGACUGUUAUUUGUAUACAUGUUACUGGAAUCAUGCUAAUGUAGACAAGCACAGAAUGUAUGCAUAUGUAUGUUAUCCUAAAUAUGCGAGUCAGUCCUACUUUAUUAUUGGAUAUUAAGGGGCUAUGUGAAAAUUGUGUGAAUAAGACUUUAGAAGCCAAUUUUAUACCUAAGAUCACAUUUAUAGCGCACUGGCAUAGUGUUUGAUUUUGAGUAUUCAAUAUCAUAACAUGAUUUUGAAAUAAUUGCCCUCUGACAAAACUUAUUUAUAGGUUAAGUCUAAAUAUUUUGUGCAUUGGUGUGAAACAGUAACUAUGCUUAUUACGUUGGACUUUGUCCAUCAUCUCGAGUGUCUUCAAACUGGGUCUGUUUUCUGCCAUCAGAUGUAAGAGGAAAUGUUCCUACUCUGUUGGGUCUUUUAGAACUGAUGGUGGGACAGUUUCCAAAGUGUUGUGUUCUGAAAAAUCUCAAAGAUGAUGGACAGUGUCCAAAAUAAUAAUUAUGGUUCUCUGUAGGUGUAUGACAUCUGUUGUCUGUUGACAUUUGACUGUUGAGUCAGUCAGUGGCACUUCAUGGACAGAGAUCUCAUAUCUGACAGAGAAUAUCAGUGCAUCAAACAAGAAAUAAUGCUUUUACAAAUGUUAAAAAGCUGACAUCUUCAUGGUGAACCUAUUUCUCAGGAGUGGAAAUGGUUUUCUAGAAUCAAGUAGAUGACCCAGAUCAGUAGAAAAACCUGAGGAAGUAAACAACAUGUGAAGAAAAUUGUUUCAGCACAGGUUUGGGAUUUCGUUCCUGUAUGUGUCAUUGUUGCAACAAUACUUAUAACAUCUUAAGCAACUUAAAAUUGAUUCAUUAAAAGAAAGUACUCUGGAACUAAGUAGACAGCAUCUACCAAAGUAUGUAACCAUUUAACGCUGUACUUUGUAAAUCGUUGAGGUUAAAUUGUCAUCAGAUGGUGACACAGAUUUUGUCAUCCAUUGAAAGUUACUACAUUUUAUUUUCAGCUUGUUAUGGGAAGCAAAACUGUUGUACUGAAGAUCUUGUUGAACACUGGACAUUUGUUGAGUAAGGUUGCCUACUUAAGUACAAUGUACCCUUUGAGAUGAUUUAGACAGACAAAAUGAUUUCCUGUAUGUGUGACAACAUUGCAUAUUCCCAUGGGGACAUGUGCAGAUGAUAUGUUCACAGUGUGAAUAGAGACUCAAACACUAACAGUGGGAUUCCUUCUUGCCUUUAAAAUGUUGCCAGAGUACCUUGAGCCAUAGUGAUGUAGUACGUAAAAUCUCAAUAUUUGUAAUUUAUCGAAGCAUGGUACUUAGUAUAUGUGUGUGUGUGUAUGUGUAUAUUAUUUUAACACCAGAAGCUCGGAAUUUUGCUGACACAGUGUAUUUGUGUGCUUUAUAUGAUUCUCAAAAUUAACAGAAAUUGUUUUCAUAAACAGUAUUGGCUCUGUAAUAGAGACUCAUUAUGUUUUCUGUUAGGUAGGCACUGAAUUUGUAAAUAUUGUGUAGAUGAAGUUCGGGUUUCUAAAGGAUAAGCCAUUUUUUGUUCACAAAUAAAUAUCUUAAAUGAAAUCCAUUCAUCAUGUUAUAAAAUGAAACAUAUAUUAUGCCAGCUUUAAGGUGUGAUUCAAAUAUUUGGUGCCCAGAUUUUAUAUUUGAGUUUAGGGCAUGAGCUGCUGUCUCCCCUUCCUGCAGCUCCAUUUGUGGACAGAUUGCUCGGCAGUACAGAGGUGCAUUGUGUUAUCAGUUGACAUGUAACAAAUAUUACAGUAAGAUUUUGGUAAAUACUGUUGCUUGUAUUAUGUGAAGCAUGUCACAUCUGUUAUGAUGGACACUGUGGCACCAAGUAUAUACAGUGAAAUGCCCUGUUUAUUUUUUUUUAGGGGUGCAGUGGAUUUUAAACACCAAACUUACUAAAACCUGAAGUGGAGGAAAUAUAACAUUGAGGUUAUUAUUUCAGGUAGUUGAAACUGAAUGUUACAUGAGGGUGUAUGUUUGCAAUGUGUAAUACAGUGUUGUGUAAUUACAUGAUUGUAUUCUUGCAAUUUUAUUGUCACUAAAACUGGCCUCUUAUUAUAAAGGUACAAUAGUGUCAUGUCAUGUUACCGUAUAUUGUGUUUUGUAUAAAAAAUAAACACCAUGUAAAGUA